AAUGUGUUAGGGUUACCGACCCAACUCUACCCAUACUCUACCCUUCUCUCUCCUCCCGACCCUACUCUCUCCAUUCUCUACCCUUUCCUCUCCUCCCACCAACUCUCGCCAUUUUUUUUUUCUUAGCAGACCCCACAAAAAAAAAAAAAAAAUUUCUCCCUCAUUUUCCUUUCACCCCCAGAGCAUUGUUGAGCCCACCUACUCCAUCUCCUUCGCCCCUGAUCUUCUUAAGCCCGUUUCUCCAUCUUUGGUGACUAUUAGGUUUAUAUUAUUUAUCUUCUUUUUUUUUUUUCAGAUUUUGUUUCUUCAAUCCUUCCUUCUGUCUCUAACCAUUCAUCUUUUUCGAUCUCAGAUCUCGCAUUCCGUUUCCAUCUCCUUCCCUAUCGCAGUUGACAAGGUUUGCAAAUAAAUUUUUUCGUCUCUGAUUUAUUGCAGUUUUUAUUUAUUUUUUUCUUUACUGUAAUUUUUAACAUUUUUAUUUACUGCAGUUUCAAUUUUUUUUAAUUUACUGCUAUUUUUAUUUUUUUGCUCUGAUUAUUAAAGAUUUAACAUUUGUGUUGUACCUAAUCAUGUUUUUUUAUUUACUGCAUUUUCUAAUUUUUUGCCCUUUAUUUUUGAUGAUGGUGGCUUUUUUUUCCGAUGAAAAAGUUUGGGGUGCGGUAGGGUGUGCGUAGGGGUGGGGUAUUAGAAUUGAUUCUUCUAGGUUUCAAUCGUGGUUUUGCAAUGGUGUUGUAAAAUGGUUUAACUUUGUAUACAUGAUGUUACCAUGUCCAGUCAAGUAGAAAAUUUGCUUUGUUGUAUUCAAAUGCACAAACUGUGUUUGGAUUUAGAUUAUUAACACAUGAUGCACAAACUGUGUUUGGAUUUGGAUUAUUAACACUAAUGCCAUGUUUGUUCUUUAUUUAUUAACAAAUGGUGAUUUAAGAAAAUUAUAUAGUUUCUUUUUAAUGUAGAAAAUUUUUAGUUUAGUUUAUUUGGCACAGAUAUUAGUAAUUUUUUAUAAUUCUUAUUGAAUCUUCUUCAGUUUCAGAUGGACAAUAGAGAUCUCCUUUUGAAUUUACAUCGUGCUAAUCAAGUUGGAUUUGUUAUUAUGGUGGUGUGUGUAAUAUUCUUUUUACGAUUACGUGAAAGAGAUCGGACAUUAAGCAGAGAGCCAUCUAAAUUGAGGGAUUUACAUAGAAAGGCUCACAUGCGUAGAAUAUUAUGUGGAGGAAGAAGAAAUUGCGUGGAUUAUGUUCGAAUGGGACCUGAGACCUUUUUAACACUUGCUACAAUAAU
This 1278-nucleotide long non-coding RNA is filed under the name Ananas comosus (pineapple). RNAcentral describes it as "long non-coding RNA (ACOM_LNC024058)". The record is from RNAcentral. Lineage: Eukaryota; Viridiplantae; Streptophyta; Magnoliopsida; Poales; Bromeliaceae.